ACAUGCAAGUCGAGCGGACNGAAGGGAGCUUGCUCCCGGAUGUUAGCGGCGGACGGGUGAGUAACACGUGGGUAACCUGCCUGUAAGACUGGGAUAACUCCGGGAAACCGGAGCUAAUACCGGAUAGUUCCUUGAACCGCAUGGUUCAAGGAUGAAAGACGGUUUCGGCUGUCACUUACAGAUGGACCCGCGGCGCAUUAGCUAGUUGGUGAGGUAACGGCUCACCAAGGCGACGAUGCGUAGCCGACCUGAGAGGGUGAUCGGCCACACUGGGACUGAGACACGGCCCAGACUCCUACGGGAGGCAGCAGUAGGGAAUCUUCCGCAAUGGACGAAAGUCUGACGGAGCAACGCCGCGUGAGUGAUGAAGGUUUUCGGAUCGUAAAGCUCUGUUGUUAGGGAAGAACAAGUGCAAGAGUAACUGCUUGCACCUUGACGGUACCUAACCAGAAAGCCACGGCUAACUACGUGCCAGCAGCCGCGGUAAUACGUAGGUGGCAAGCGUUGUCCGGAAUUAUUGGGCGUAAAGGGCUCGCAGGCGGUUUCUUAAGUCUGAUGUGAAAGCCCCCGGCUCAACCGGGGAGGGUCAUUGGAAACUGGGAAACUUGAGUGCAGAAGAGGAGAGUGGAAUUCCACGUGUAGCGGUGAAAUGCGUAGAGAUGUGGAGGAACACCAGUGGCGAAGGCGACUCUCUGGUCUGUAACUGACGCUGAGGAGCGAAAGCGUG
Molecule: ribosomal RNA, 727 nt
Filed under: unidentified microorganism
Description: bacterial SSU rRNA
Rfam family: Bacterial small subunit ribosomal RNA
Source: RNAcentral